Molecule: ribosomal RNA, 254 nt
Filed under: uncultured bacterium
Lineage: Bacteria
Description: partial 16S ribosomal RNA
Rfam family: Bacterial small subunit ribosomal RNA
Source: RNAcentral
UACGUAGGGGGCGAGCGUUGUCCGGAUUUAUUGGGCGUAAAGAGCUCGUAGGCGGUUUGGCAAGUCGGGUGUGAAAACUCCGGGCUCAACUCGGAGACGCCACUCGAUACUGCUAUGACUCGAGUCCGGUAGGGGAGUGCGGAAUUCCUGGUGUAGCGGUGAAAUGCGCAGAUAUCAGGAGGAACACCAAUUGCGAAGGCAGCUCGCUGGGACGUUACUGACGCUGAGACGCGAAAGCGUGGGGAGCAAACAGG